GGGAAUUNUUCCGCAAUGGGCGAAAGCCUGACGGAGCAAUACCGCGUGAGGGAUGACGGCCUAUGGGUNGUAAACCUCUUUUUUCAGGGAGGAAUAUAUGACGUGUACCUGAAGAAUAAGCAUCGGCUAACUCCGUGCCAGCAGCCGCGGUAAGACGGAGGAUGCAAGUGUUAUCCGGAAUCACUGGGCGUAAAGCGUCUGUAGGUGGUUUAAUAAGUCGGCUGUUAAAUCUUGAGGCUUAACUUCAAAACUGCAGUUGAAACUAUUAAACUAGAGUAUAGUAGGGGUAAAGGGAAUUUCCAGUGGAGCGGUGAAAUGCGUAGAUAUUGGAAAGAACACCGAUGGCGAAGGCACUUUACUGGGCUAUUACUGACACUCAGAGACGAAAGCUAGGGUAGCAAAUGGGAUUAGAUACCCCAGUAGUCA
RNAcentral lists this ribosomal RNA (426 nucleotides) under uncultured cyanobacterium. RNAcentral's name for it is "bacterial SSU rRNA". It matches the Rfam family "Bacterial small subunit ribosomal RNA", at positions 356 to 796 of the family's 1533-position model. Lineage: Bacteria; Bacillati; Cyanobacteriota. The record is from RNAcentral.